RNAcentral lists this ribosomal RNA (646 nucleotides) under Platythelphusa armata. RNAcentral's name for it is "SSU rRNA". It matches the Rfam family "Eukaryotic small subunit ribosomal RNA", at positions 685 to 1326 of the family's 1831-position model. Lineage: Eukaryota; Metazoa; Arthropoda; Malacostraca; Decapoda; Platythelphusidae. The record is from RNAcentral.
CAGCCGCAACAGCCCGCUGGCUCACACGGGGUGCUCUUCAUCGAGUGUCCCGCGUGGCCGGCAGAGUUUACUUUGAAAAAAUUAGAGUGCUCAAAGCAGGCUACACUGACAGCCUGAAUGCCUAUGCAUGGAAUAAUGGAAUAGGACCUCGGUUCUAUUUUGUUGGUUUUCUGAACCCGAGGUAAUGACUAAUAGGAACAGGCGGGGGCAUUCGUAUUGCGACGCUAGAGGUGAAAUUCUUGGACCGUCGCAAGACGAACUACUGCGAAAGCAUUUGCCAAGGAUGUUUUCAUUAAUCAAGAACGAAAGUUAGAGGUUCGAAGGCGAUCAGAUACCGCCCUAGUUCUAACCAUAAACGAUGCUGACCAGCGAUCCGCCGGCGUUAUUCCCAUGACCCGGCGGGCAGCUUCCGGGAAACCAAAGUCUUUGGGUUCCGGGGGAAGUAUGGUUGCAAAGCUGAAACUUAAAGGAAUUGACGGAAGGGCACCACCAGGAGUGGAGCCUGCGGCUUAAUUUGACUCAACACGGGGAACCUCACCAGGCCCAGACACCGGAAGGAUUGACAGAUUGAGAGCUCUUUCUCGAUUCGGUGGGUGGUGGUGCAUGGCCGUUCUUANUUGGUGGAGCGAUUUGUCUGGUUAAUUCC